CUGCAGCCCUCCCCACCCUUAAAGUGCGCGUAUAAACUUCUUCCCUGGAACCCUUUGGGGAGUUCGGACCUUCUGAGCAUGACCCACCUCUUCUCCUUGCAUGGCCCUUGCCAUAAGUCUUCCCCUGCUCCAAACUGACCUUCAGGUGUGUUUGGCCUCGCUGUGCUUUGGGCGACCACACUUGCUUAAGGCAGCUUAUUUUCUUUUCAGCAAGCUCUUUCUUCUGUGGAAAACUUCCCCUGUGGUAACUACCCACCCAUUGCACCUACAUAUCAAGCCUCAGUUCCUGCAGCAAGAUUCAACAGGCACAAUUCCAACCCCAUAAACACAGCAGGCUUUUGUAAACAGAUAAAUGGUCUCUUCUCCGAGUUUAACAUUUUCUAGCUUUUCCUUCGUUCAGUUUAUUAAAAAAGUAUAAAAGCCAAC
This 426-nucleotide long non-coding RNA is filed under the name Capra hircus (goat). RNAcentral describes it as "lncRNA (ENSCHIG00000004296.1)". The record is from RNAcentral. Lineage: Eukaryota; Metazoa; Chordata; Mammalia; Artiodactyla; Bovidae.